GCGCUUAUGGUGGAGGGGUUAACAUACUUCUUUCGGGUAGAAGUGGUCCCCGGUUCGAAUCCGGGUGAGCGCC
This 73-nucleotide transfer RNA is filed under the name Tremella mesenterica DSM 1558. Its description in RNAcentral is "tRNA-Pro (CGG) (tRNA-Pro-CGG-1-1)". It matches the Rfam family "tRNA". Rfam says of the family: Transfer RNA (tRNA) molecules are approximately 80 nucleotides in length. Their secondary structure includes four short double-helical elements and three loops (D, anti-codon, and T loops). The record is from RNAcentral. Lineage: Eukaryota; Fungi; Basidiomycota; Tremellomycetes; Tremellales; Tremellaceae.